This 472-nucleotide ribosomal RNA is filed under the name uncultured bacterium. RNAcentral describes it as "partial 16S ribosomal RNA". It matches the Rfam family "Bacterial small subunit ribosomal RNA", at positions 28 to 507 of the family's 1533-position model. The record is from RNAcentral.
GACGAACGCUGGCGGCGUGCUUAACACAUGCAAGUCGAACGCUGAAGCUUGGUGCUUGCACUGGGUGGAUGAGUGGCGAACGGGUGAGUAAUACGUGAGUAACCUGCCCUUGACUCUGGGAUAAGCCUGGGAAACUGGGUCUAAUACUGGAUACGACAUGCCACUGCAUGGUGGUGUGUGGAAAGGGUUUUACUGGUUUUGGAUGGGCUCACGGCCUAUAAGCUUGUUGGUGGGGUAAUGGCCUACCAAGGCGACGACGGGUAGCCGGCCUGAGAGGGUGACCGGCCACACUGGGACUGAGACACGGCCCAGACUCCUACGGGAGGCAGCAGUGGGGAAUAUUGCACAAUGGGCGGAAGCCUGAUGCAGCGACGCCGCGUGAGGGAUGACGGCCUUCGGGUUGUAAACCUCUUUCAGCACGGAAGAAGCGAGAGUGACGGUACGUGCAGAAGAAGCGCCGGCUAACUACGUG